AGAGUUUGAUUAUGGCUCAGGAUGAACGCUAGCUACAGGCCUAACACAUGCAAGUCGAGGGCAUCAGGUCGAAAGCUUGCUUUCGACGCUGGCGACCGGCGAAUGGGUGAGUCACGCGUGUCCAACCUGCCCUGUGCCCGGGGAUAGCCCUUGGAAAUGAGGAUUAAGACCCGAUACGUGCGCCCUCCGCAUGGCGAGCGCAUGAAACUGACACAGGAUGGGGACGCGUCGGAUUAGCUUGACGGCGGGGCGACGGCCCACCGUGGCGACGAUCCGCAGGGGUUCUGAGAGGAAGGUCCCCCACACUGGCACUGAGACACGGGCCAGACUCCUACGGGAGGCAGCAGUGAGGAAUAUUGGUCAAUGGCCGAGAGGCUGAACCAGCCAAAGUAGCGUGCAGGACGACGGCCCUACGGGUUGUAAACUGCUUUUGCGGGAGGAUAAAGGACGUUACGUGUAACGUUUUGCAGGUAUCCCGUGAAUAAGGACCGGCUAAUUCCGUGCCAGCCGCAGC
This 514-nucleotide ribosomal RNA is filed under the name uncultured bacterium. RNAcentral's name for it is "bacterial SSU rRNA". It matches the Rfam family "Bacterial small subunit ribosomal RNA", at positions 8 to 518 of the family's 1533-position model. The record is from RNAcentral.